GUUGAAUCUAUUUGGGAUUCUUUGAGUGCCAUGGAUCUGGAUGUCCAUAUAUCUCUUCCAGGACUUUGGAAGUUUUCAGCUAUUAUUUCAUUAAAUAAGCUUUCUGUGCCUUUCUCCAUCUCCCUCCGAAAAUCUCAUAAUAGUGAGAAAACUCAGAUCCAGCUUGUGGAUGCACUUGGGGAAACAGCUCCAGAGCCCCCAACUCUGGCCUACUGUGGAGAGCAGAAAGGAUCUUCAUAGGACACACCCCAAGAUGAAGUCAUAGGCAUGUUUCCAUAACUCCGUUCCCAAGGUUUGGAUAACCUACGCUCAUUUAGCAGGAACACUACACUACGUGCUUGUUGCUGGCGCCUUUUUUUUUUUUUUUUUUUUUUUUUUUUGAGAUAGCGUCUUGCCCUGUUACCCAGGUUGGAGUACAGUGCCAUGACCAUGGCUCAUGGCAGCCCCAACCUCCUCGAGUGAUCCUCUCACCUCAGCCUCCCAAGUAGCUGGGAUCACAGGCGCAAGCCACUGUGCCUGGCUAAUUAAAAAAAAAAAAAAAAAUUUCCAGAGACACGGUCUUCUUAUGUUGCCCAAGCUGGUGUUGAACUGGGCUCAAGUGGUCGUCCUGCUUUGGCCUCCCAAAGUGCUGGGAUUACAGGGGUAAGCCACCACACCUGGCCCGCUGCUGUUUCCCUAGCCGAUAAUUUUACAUUAAUAAACCUCUUGUGUGUGAAGUGCUAUACACUUGUAUGCUGGUAUCAAUAGUAGUUCAUGUAGCGAAGAGGUGGCAUUGAUUACAUGAAAACUGCUUCAAAGCUAAAGGCAGUUGUAGUUUUCCUUGGUGUCUUUAAAUCAGAAAAGAGGUGUCAAAGCUGACGAAGGUCCAGGCAGCAGGAGUCUUAAGAGCAUGGAAGCACUACUGCUUAAAUCCUAUGGUGGCAGCAUCCGGUUUCUUUAGUGAUUAGUAACAGGAAUCAGGAAUUUCUAACAAGCACUGCCAAAGAUAUUUUAGGUGCAGUUUAAGUAUAUUACACUUUGACUAAGAUGUUUUGAAGAUUUGAGAAGUUUGUACCCUUGAACCUGGUAAGCUGGGCUUCAGCUAAAUGGCUAUAUAGGUUUUAUAGGUAGGAAAUACAUUUUUUUUUUAACAUGAAAAGACUAGCUGUGAAAAGGCAAAUGUAGGCAACACAAAAACAAUUUAGAUCAACAUCUCAAACUUUAUAAUACACUCACAUUUAUACACAAAUUUCUGUUUACAAGUACAAAAGGCAAAGAACCACAAAGAAGCUAAGCAACUGCAUCAUCAGCCACAUUCAAUCGAAUUAAUACUAUUGUCCCCAGUCCGUAGUUUUAAUCCAGAGGAAAUGGUAGAUGCCAUUUCACACAUGGACUCCACCGUUAGUUUUAGAAGUUGGAGACUGUGUGUGGUUCCGCAGAAGUCUGGGUUUCUACAGAGCUGAACUGAGACUCCAUCGUGUUCCAGGCCAGAUCAGCCAGAAGAAAGUCAUCCAUUGCUGUCUGAGUUUCGUUGCUGGUGAAGAACAAGCUCCCCAGGGUUUCAAACCCAGAACUCAUGGUCUGUGUUUCUGUACUGUUCAACUGAACUUUGCUUUCUAGAGCAGGUAUAUUUUUAGCAGUGGAGAUUCCUUCAGUUUGGGUCUCUGUGUCAGAUGAAUCAGUACUCGUGGAAAAGCUGGAGUGUUUCAGAAUACUUCCCAGAGGCAGAUGAGGGCUACUGUCUAAGAAAAAGUUUAAGUCUGUCUGUGUCUGUGUGUCAAACAUCUCAAGGCCUAAGAAGUUAGAAUUUCCCCUACACCCAUAGGACUGAGCAGAGGUAUCUGCGAGUAAGAAGUCCGUUUGAGUCUCUAUGUCCAGUGACUCCAAGACUGGCUCGGUGGUCAUGGUGCUAAGUUCACUCUCUUCAGUUUGAGUCUGGAUAUUUGAGGCCGAAAAGAACUCUUCGAUAUCAAAAUCGAUUCCAGGGUUCUGGGCUGGGCCAGAUGGGAGCUGGGUGUCAGGUCCAGGAUUUGUGUCAGACAAAAGACUACGAUGAUCCAAUGUCUGAGCAGGCAGAUUACUUGACAAGAUGUUUUCCAAAUCACUUAAUAAAUCUAUGGUUUGGGUCUGAUUAUCUGUCAUGUUCUGUGAAGGAAGCAUACUAUUCUGUGCACUGAAGUUUAUAAUUGGUGCAGAUUUCUCAAUAUCUUGAUUUAAAGUCUUAGGCUCAUUCUGAGGUAACAAACUAUGAGUUACUGUCUCUGCUACUAAACUGUUGCUUAUAAUGUUACCUGUAGCAACAUUAUAUGAUGAAUGAACACUCUCAAAAAUGUCUCCGCAUAUUCCAGCUUGGUCCAUCUGUACAUGGUCAUUCGUUGGACUUUCUAUCCCACUGGUUUGAGUUUCUCUGGAGACCCCACCUGACUGGAAACAGGUGUCCAUAAAUGCAUCAGUCUGAGCAGCUAUAGAUGAAGUUACCUUAGAGCUGGGCAAAAAUGUCUGAGUGUGAACACUAAUGGGAAGAGACACUUGAGAAUCAAACGACAAAUCAGUUUGAGAACAAGACGACACAGAGGAAUCAGCAGUGGCCCACUGUGCAGAAGGUAUAAAGUUUUGUGAGGCAUAAGACAGAUCUGUCUGCACGUUGAUUGAAGAAAUGCUGUUCUUUUGACACGUGUUCCCUAGUUCUUGUAAAGGAUUAGAUGGACUUUUACCAAAGUUCACCUGAACACCAGUACUUAUUGGCUCACCAGCAAUAGGAUUAGCAAUUUUGAAAAGAGGUAGGCUCUCCUUAAGAGAGCAAGCCUCUGAAUCUAGGCCGAGGAUCAGGGUUCCUACUGUCAAGGGCAGUAAGUGCACAGCCCCUGUGGCAGAGCCCUGAUCAACACCUAACACCACAGGCUGGGCUGAGGAGUCGGCUGUAGGCACAAAGACAGGCAUGACAGAAAACUGCAUCACGGGUAGUUUAACCAAAGCCACUUUGGGCUUUGGUAAAAGCAACUUCUGAGGAUAUCUCGGUGGUGUUGUAAGAGUCUGCUUGUCAGUGUUAGAGCCACAAGAGUCUUCAAAAGAUGGUUCUAGCUUUAUUUCUGAAGAUUCUAGUUCUUGAGUGUCUGGUCUAGGGAUUGGUUGGUUGUUCAGUGAUUCAAUGGUCUUGUUGGAUAACUUCUGGUUUUGUGCACAGUUUUCCAUUUUCCUUUUCUUACUAGGUGGGUCCCUG
This 3199-nucleotide long non-coding RNA is filed under the name Pan troglodytes (chimpanzee). RNAcentral's name for it is "long non-coding RNA NONPTRT006406". Lineage: Eukaryota; Metazoa; Chordata; Mammalia; Primates; Hominidae. The record is from RNAcentral.